UGUGGUUUAAUUCGAAGCAACGCGAAGAACCUUACCAGGCCUUGACAUGCAGAGAACUUUCCAGAGAUGGAUUGGUGCCUUCGGGAACUCUGACACAGGUGCUGCAUGGUUGUCGUCAGCUCGUGCCGUGAGGUGUCGGGUUAAGUCCCAUAACGAGCGCAACCCCUAUCAUUAGUUGCCAUCAGGUCAAGCUGGGGACUCUAAUGAAACUGCCUACGCAAGUAGUGAGGAAGGUGGGGAUGACGUCAAAUCAUCAUGGCCCUUACGGCCUGGGCUACACACGUGCUACAAUGGUCGGUACAAAGGGUUGCCAAGCCGCGAGGUGGAGCUAAUCCCAUAAAACCGAUCGUAGUCCGGAUCGCAGUCUGCAACUCGACUGCGUGAAGUCGGAAUCGCUAGUAAUCGUGAAUCAGAAUGUCACGGUGAAUACGUUCCCGGGCCUU
This 443-nucleotide ribosomal RNA is filed under the name uncultured Pseudomonas sp. Its description in RNAcentral is "bacterial SSU rRNA". It matches the Rfam family "Bacterial small subunit ribosomal RNA", at positions 940 to 1382 of the family's 1533-position model. Lineage: Bacteria; Pseudomonadati; Pseudomonadota; Gammaproteobacteria; Pseudomonadales; Pseudomonadaceae. The record is from RNAcentral.